This is a transfer RNA of Apaloderma vittatum (bar-tailed trogon), 81 nucleotides long. It matches the Rfam family "tRNA". Rfam says of the family: Transfer RNA (tRNA) molecules are approximately 80 nucleotides in length. Their secondary structure includes four short double-helical elements and three loops (D, anti-codon, and T loops). Further hydrogen bonds mediate the characteristic L-shaped molecular structure. tRNAs have two regions of fundamental functional importance: the anti-codon, which is responsible for specific mRNA codon recognition, and the 3' end, to which the tRNAs corresponding amino acid is attached (by aminoacyl-tRNA synthetases). tRNAs cope with the degeneracy of the genetic code in two manners: having more than one tRNA (with a specific anti-codon) for a particular amino acid; and 'wobble' base-pairing, i.e. permitting non-standard base-pairing at the 3rd anti-codon position. The record is from Rfam. Lineage: Eukaryota; Metazoa; Chordata; Aves; Trogoniformes; Trogonidae.
GGAAACAGCUCAGUGGUUUGAGCGCGGUGCUGACAACAAUGACCAACACUGAGAUCGCGGGUUCGAUUCCCGCUGUGUCCC